GUCUACGGCCAUGCCACCCUGAACGCACCUGAUUUUGUCUGAUCUCGGAAGCCAAGCAGGGUCAGGCCUGGUUAGUACUUGGAUGGGAGACAACCUAGGAAGACCAGGUGCUGUAGGCG
Molecule: ribosomal RNA, 119 nt
Filed under: Pteropus alecto (black flying fox)
Lineage: Eukaryota; Metazoa; Chordata; Mammalia; Chiroptera; Pteropodidae
Source: RNAcentral